This 329-nucleotide unclassified non-coding RNA is filed under the name soil metagenome. RNAcentral describes it as "partial contains 5.8S ribosomal RNA, internal transcribed spacer 2, and large subunit ribosomal RNA". The stretch from base 1 to 120 matches the Rfam family "5.8S ribosomal RNA", at positions 35 to 154 of the family's 154-position model. The record is from RNAcentral.
GAUGAAGAACGCAGUGAAAUGCGAUAAGUAAUGUGAAUUGCAGAAUUCAGUGAAUCAUCGAAUCUUUGAACGCACAUUGCGCCCUCUGGUAUUCCGGGGGGCAUGCCUGUUCGAGCGUCAUUAUAACCACUCAAGCUCUCGCUUGGUAUUGGAGUUCGCGAUCUCGCGGCUCCUAAAAUCAGUGGCGGUGCCUGUCGGCUCUACGCGUAGUAAUACUCCUCGCGAUUGAGUCCGGUAGGUUUACUUGCCAGCAACCCCCAAUUUUUACAGGUUGACCUCGGAUCAGGUAGGGAUACCCGCUGAACUUAAGCAUAUCAAUAAGCGGAGGA